Molecule: long non-coding RNA, 437 nt
Organism: Apis dorsata (giant honeybee)
Lineage: Eukaryota; Metazoa; Arthropoda; Insecta; Hymenoptera; Apidae
Exons: 2
Source: RefSeq, a predicted model, not a curated record
AUUGUGUUAAGUUUAUCAUCAAUUCGGUAAUUUCAUUGCUAUUAAUAAUAAUCGACCUGUUUUGUGGUAUUGAACCGUGGUAGUACGUACACGGAAGGUUGAAUACUCGCUGACCUGUGAUAAUCCUUUGGCGAUUAGUUUCUAACUGUAGAUAGGCAUAUAGGCACAAUUUUAGAGCGGCAGAUACGGUCGAGAAAGCUAGGUGGAGUCGGUGGAGGACGGGACGAACCGGUUACAAUCAAGUCAAAAAGGAUGCGCGCGACCACGCGUUCUAUUGAUUCCAUGACCUGAAGCUGAAAGUGAUGUGCCAAUUUGUGGAAGGAAAGUAGCAAAAUCAAGAUUCAGCUUAUACCAUCUUUUCUUUUUAAAAAUUUCUGUAUAUAGAAUUUCUUGAUGAAGUUAAAUCACUAAUAAUAAUAAAAGAAUGUAUUUAAUAU